RNAcentral lists this ribosomal RNA (316 nucleotides) under uncultured bacterium. Its description in RNAcentral is "bacterial SSU rRNA". It matches the Rfam family "Bacterial small subunit ribosomal RNA", at positions 28 to 334 of the family's 1533-position model. The record is from RNAcentral.
GAUGAACGCUAGCUACAGGCUUAACACAUGCAAGUCGAGGGGCAGCGGGAUUGAAGCUUGCUUCAAUUGCCGGCGACCGGCGCACGGGUGAGUAACGCGUAUCCAACCUUCCGCUUACUCGGGGAUAGCCUUUCGAAAGAAAGAUUAAUACCCGAUGGUAUCUUAAGCACGCAUGAGAUUAAGAUUAAAAGAUUUAUCGGUAAGCGAUGGGGAUGCGUUCCAUUAGGCAGUUGGCGGGGUAACGGCCCACCAAACCUACGAUGGAUAGGGGUUCUGAGAGGAAGGUCCCCCACAUUGGAACUGAGACACGGUCCAA